This 406-nucleotide ribosomal RNA is filed under the name uncultured bacterium. RNAcentral's name for it is "partial 16S ribosomal RNA". It matches the Rfam family "Bacterial small subunit ribosomal RNA", at positions 30 to 526 of the family's 1533-position model. The record is from RNAcentral.
AUUGAACGCUGGCGGCAGGCCUAACACAUGCAAGUCGAACGAGCGGCGGACGGGGGAGUAAUGUCUGUGAAACUGCCUGUUGGGGAGGGAUAACUACUGGAAAAGGUAUCUAAUACCGCAUACCAUCAGAUGUGCCCAGAUGGGAUUAGCUAGGAGGUGGGGUAAUGGCUCACCUAGGCGACGAUCCCCAGCUGGUCUGAGAGGAUGACCAGCCACACUGGAACUGAGACACGGUCCAGACUCCUACGGGAGGCAGCAGUGGGGAAUAUUGCACAAUGGGCGCAAGCCUGAUGCAGCCAUGCCGCGUGUGUGAAGAAGGCCUUCGGGUUGUAAAGCACUUUCAGCGGGGAGGCGUUACCCGCAGAAGAAGCACCGGCUAACUCCGUGCCAGCAGCCGCGGUAAUUC